UCCUGGAGAUCUGGAGGAUCUGGUCACAAGUCAAAGGGCUGGAGUUCACUGCAGAGUCCCGUGAGAGUCCUUAUCAAGAAGCCGAAGGGUCUGCGCUAAAAGGCUGACGAGUCUGAGCUAGCAGCCUGGAGAUGGAUGUCCGAAGGCAAGGAUGAAGACUGGAGCUCCCGAAACAGAAGUCACUUUUUUCUUCUUUCCAUUUUUAUUCUAAGGAGGCUACAAAGCUGCUUGGACCACCCACACCCAUGGAUUGAAGAAGAAGAAGAAGAAGAAGAAGAAGAAGAAGAAGAAGAAGAAGAAGAAGAAGAAGGAAAGAAGGAAAGAAAGAAAGAAAGAAAGAAAGAAAGAAAGACGAAGGAGGAGGAGGAGGAAGAAGAGGAAGAAGGAGAAGGAGAAGGAGAAAAAGAAGAAAACUACAACAAAAUUUGAAAACACAUCCAUCAGGGGCAACCAUGGACUUUUAUUAAACACACACUAUUACCGUCUUCAUUUUACUGAUGAAAAACUGAGGCAGAAAGAAAUAGAGACGUACGGCAAGGGAAUGUCAGAAGAGGGAAUGAUAAAAUCUGGGCAGCCCAGUUCCAUGUUGAUUUGUGUAACUUUUACAAUGAUCGGAAAAGUGGCUUAAAGAAUGGCAUCCCAUGGGGAGUCAAAUCGUAAGAGUGACAUGACCCCGUUGACUUGUGUCCCUUGUAUCUGAGGGUGUUUCUGAUAGCACCUGUCCGAAGAUCACCAGACGAGGCUGCUGGUCAGUACUGUGGCUCACAGGAUCUUGCUCCAUCACAAGGGCUUCGCAGAAAAUGGAAAUGAAUUGGGCCUCAUCAUGCCUUAAAUACACAAACCUGCACCACAAGAAUGUUGAAUGGGCAUGGAGCUUACCAACCAGGGAAAAUUCUGCAAGCCAAAGUUAUCAACAAACAGUUACAUGAUUGUGGCAGUAACACUGCCAAUUUAAAGAGCUCACAGGAUGUGGGCUGAGGUGUGGCUCAGCAGUAGAGUACUUACCUAGCACACACAGGACUCUGGGUCCCCUCUCCAGCACCAAUGUGCAAAACAGAGUUUGUGAGGCGUGACCGGCCCUGCAUUCAUGCAUCGUGUAAUGAAAGGUUCAUAGAUGAUCUCCCACUGAUCUACGUAAAUUAGCAAGAAAAAUUUUAACAUGCAUUGAUAUUUUGCAUAUUCCACAUCUGUGACAUCCUGUGUAUUACUGUUCAAUAAAAUGUAUCUUUGGUAACAUAAAAAAU
This is a long non-coding RNA of Cavia porcellus (domestic guinea pig), 1244 nucleotides long. RefSeq lists it as uncharacterized. Lineage: Eukaryota; Metazoa; Chordata; Mammalia; Rodentia; Caviidae. The record is from RefSeq and is a predicted model, not a curated record. The transcript is spliced from 5 exons.